RNAcentral lists this unclassified non-coding RNA (288 nucleotides) under Hevea brasiliensis (rubber tree). The record is from RNAcentral. Lineage: Eukaryota; Viridiplantae; Streptophyta; Magnoliopsida; Malpighiales; Euphorbiaceae.
GAAACAUGCGCCAUUAAGGCAACGCAAUCUUUUCUAAUUUGCUUUUAAAUCUGGCCAAAUAAGUCUACAGAUUCCAUACUAAAUAAAAACUGAAGUCAAAACUGAUGCCAUAAAUAAAAACCAAGUCACAACUCUCACUGAUCUCCCUGACCUCACAAUGACAGAAGCCGAACACAGAUCGAAUCAUGUAGCCACCAAACACUCUUAACUCAAAAUUAUGCAACCAGGGUGCUAGCAGUUGUUGACUCGUAUUUCCAAACUGGUGGAAGCUUCUUGGUUUUCUUAUAG